GGUUAAGCGACUAAGCGUACACGGUGGAUGCCCUGGCAGUCAGAGGCGAUGAAGGACGUGCUAAUCUGCGAUAAGCGUCGGUAAGGUGAUAUGAACCGUUAUAACCGGCGAUUUCCGAAUGGGGAAACCCAGUGUGAUUCGUCACACUAUCAUUAACUGAAUCCAUAGGUUAAUGAGGCGAACCGGGGGAACUGAAACAUCUAAGUACCCCGAGGAAAAGAAAUCAACCGAGAUUCCCCCAGUAGCGG
RNAcentral lists this ribosomal RNA (248 nucleotides) under Escherichia coli. Its description in RNAcentral is "partial 23S ribosomal RNA". It matches the Rfam family "Bacterial large subunit ribosomal RNA", at positions 1 to 249 of the family's 2925-position model. RNAcentral also lists the same sequence under 1 other name. The record is from RNAcentral. Lineage: Bacteria; Pseudomonadati; Pseudomonadota; Gammaproteobacteria; Enterobacterales; Enterobacteriaceae.